Molecule: antisense RNA, 45 nt
Filed under: Sinorhizobium medicae
Lineage: Bacteria; Pseudomonadati; Pseudomonadota; Alphaproteobacteria; Hyphomicrobiales; Rhizobiaceae
Description: ctRNA_p42d
Rfam family: ctRNA
About the family: This family represents a group of ctRNAs (or counter-transcribed RNAs) from p42d and related plasmids. ctRNAs are small, highly structured, antisense sequences which are involved in negative regulation. Members of this family are known to bind to the mRNA of repC causing translational repression.
Source: RNAcentral
AGAAGGGCUUCCACGACAGUGAUGUCUGGGGGCCUUUUUCUUUGC